RNAcentral lists this ribosomal RNA (516 nucleotides) under Shigella sonnei. RNAcentral's name for it is "bacterial SSU rRNA". It matches the Rfam family "Bacterial small subunit ribosomal RNA", at positions 1 to 506 of the family's 1533-position model. Lineage: Bacteria; Pseudomonadati; Pseudomonadota; Gammaproteobacteria; Enterobacterales; Enterobacteriaceae. The record is from RNAcentral.
AAAUUGAAGAGUUUGAUCAUGGCUCAGAUUGAACGCUGGCGGCAGGCCUAACACAUGCAAGUCGAACGGUAACAGGAAACAGCUUGCUGUUUCGCUGACGAGUGGCGGACGGGUGAGUAAUGUCUGGGAAACUGCCUGAUGGAGGGGGAUAACUACUGGAAACGGUAGCUAAUACCGCAUAAUGUCGCAAGACUAAAGAGGGGGACCUUCGGGCCUCUUGCCAUCGGAUGUGCCCAGAUGGGAUUAGCUAGUAGGUGGGGUAACGGCUCACCUAGGCGACGAUCCCUAGCUGGUCUGAGAGGAUGACCAGCCACACUGGAACUGAGACACGGUCCAGACUCCUACGGGAGGCAGCAGUGGGGAAUAUUGCACAAUGGGCGCAAGCCUGAUGCAGCCAUGCCGCGUGUAUGAAGAAGGCCUUCGGGUUGUAAAGUACUUUCAGCGGGGAGGAAGGGAGUAAAGUUAAUACCUUUACUCAUUGACGUUACCCGCAGAAGAAGCACCGGCUAACUCCGU